AGUUGCAAGACAACAGAGAGGACGAGAAAGUGGGACAUCAACAACUGCCCUUGUGAAUAUGGUGAUUGACAAUAAUUCCAUCCGUUCAAGGGAAAUUCAAACCCAAAUAGUUAAGACCAGGUAGUCUUCCAAGGAAUUGACAGCAUCAGCAUUUCCACCACUGACCGGAUCGUUCAGAAGAACCACAUAAGGACAAAGCAGCUGUACCGUGUGCCUUUUGAAAGGAAUUCAGAGUUAAGGAGCGACGAUUCCAAUAUGUGCAGAGAAUCUUGAGCUGGAUGCCAUGGCUGAACCACAGGAAUACAUCUUCAUCGACGAGGCAUGAUUCAACCUAACAAAAAGGUGCAAAAGUGGGAGCAAAAUCAUUGGUCACCAUACAAGUUCCUGGCCAGAGGGGAGGUAAUGUCACCCUAUGUCCAGCCAUCAGCAAUCAUGGCGUCCUCCACCGCCAUGUCAAAGUGGGUCCAUGCAACACGGAAAUACUCCUUCAAUUUCCAGAUCAGCUGCACAAUAACAUUCUUCAACAGGAAGGGGAGUCAUGGCAACCAGAGCAAGCCCAAUAUGCUGUCAUUUGUUAUAACAUGAGUUUCCAUCGGGUUGCUCAGGUUCGCGCCUGGUUCAAUGACCAACCCAGGGUCUUUUUUUGCCAGCAUAUUCCCCAUUUCUGAAUCCGAUUGAGGCAUUUUUCUCAGCAUGGUGGUGGAGAGUAUAUGCCCGAAACCCCUACGCACAGCAAAACCUCCUGGAGGCAAUGAUGGAGGCCUGUGGUGAUGUGUCUGUGGAGUCUAUCCAGGGUUAUCUAAGGCACACAAGGGCAUUUUUUCCCCACGCUGCCUGGCAAGAGUAAAUAUAAUGUGUGACGUUGAUGAGAUUAUGUCCUGAGACGAGAUGAUGAGAACGCUGAUGCUGAUUAACCUGUACAUUUGCUGCAUUUGGAAAUAAAGCUUUUGGAAAUUGGGUA
This is a long non-coding RNA of Oncorhynchus gorbuscha (pink salmon), 961 nucleotides long. RefSeq lists it as uncharacterized. The record is from RefSeq and is a predicted model, not a curated record. Lineage: Eukaryota; Metazoa; Chordata; Actinopteri; Salmoniformes; Salmonidae. The transcript is spliced from 2 exons.